This 491-nucleotide ribosomal RNA is filed under the name uncultured bacterium. Its description in RNAcentral is "partial 16S ribosomal RNA". It matches the Rfam family "Bacterial small subunit ribosomal RNA", at positions 29 to 506 of the family's 1533-position model. The record is from RNAcentral.
AGUGAACGCUGGCGGUAGGCCUAACACAUGCAAGUCGAACGGCAGCACAGUAAGAGCUUGCUCUUACGGGUGGCGAGUGGCGGACGGGUGAGGAUUACAUCGGAAUCUACUUUUUCGUGGGGGAUAACGUAGGGAAACUUACGCUAAUACCGCAUACGACCUACGGGUGAAAGCAGGGGAUCUUCGGACCUUGCGCGAUUGAAUGAGCCGAUGUCGGAUUAGCUAGUUGGCGGGGUAAAGGCCCACCAAGGCGACGAUCCGUAGCUGGUCUGAGAGGAUGAUCAGCCACACUGGAACUGAGACACGGUCCAGACUCCUACGGGAGGCAGCAGUGGGGAAUAUUGGACAAUGGGCGCAAGCCUGAUCCAGCCAUACCGCGUGGGUGAAGAAGGCCUUCGGGUUGUAAAGCCCUUUUGUUGGGAAAGAAAAGCAGCAGGUUAAUACCCCGCUGUUCUGACGGUACCCAAAGAAUAAGCACCGGCUAACUUCGU